This 280-nucleotide ribosomal RNA is filed under the name uncultured bacterium. RNAcentral describes it as "partial 16S ribosomal RNA". It matches the Rfam family "Bacterial small subunit ribosomal RNA", at positions 338 to 634 of the family's 1533-position model. The record is from RNAcentral.
CCUACGGGGGGCAGCAGUGAGGAAUCUUGCGCAAUGGGGGCAACCCUGACGCAGCGACGCCGCGUGCGGGAAGAAGGCUUUCGGGUCGUAAACCGCUUUUCUGGAGGACGAGACAGGACGGUACUCCAGGAAUAAGUCCCGGCUAACUACGUGCCAGCAGCCGCGGUAAAACGUAGGGGGCGAGCGUUAUCCGGAAUCACUGGGCGUAAAGGGCGUCUAGGCGGCAGGCUAAGUUCUGCGUGAAAGCUCCCGGCUCAACUGGGAGAGCGCGUGGAAGACU